ACAGCGGCCUGCUUCUUCCGCUCUCUGCUCAGUGCUGAGUCUGCUCCGUCCGUCUCCGUGCCGUGUGCUGGCGGUGGCGGUCCAGGCCCCGCUCGCUCCUACCAGUGGCCCGUGCGUGCGGCCGCCGGCGCCCUGAUCGAUCGACCCGCGCCUCGGCCGGAUGGAGGCGUCAGUAGCAGCAGCAGGAGGUGGGGGAGGCAGCGCCGCCACGCGGAGCAGCCCGGCGGCCGUGCAGGCCACCAACGACGACGCCGCGGCCAGCAAGCUGUCCUGUGUUAACAAAGGAUACAUGAAGGAUGAUUAUGUGCGGUUUUUUGUUAGGCGACCAACAAGAAGGGCUCCAAUAAUCAAUCGUGGGUAUUAUGCGCGUUGGUCUGUUCUCAGGACGCUUCUGCAUCAAUUCCUCAAUGCGGGGAAGAAUAGUAACAAUGACAAGCCUAAACAAAUAUUAUCCCUUGGUGCUGGCUUUGACACAACAUUCUUCCAGUUGCAAGAUGAAGGAAUGGCUCCACACUGUUAUGUAGAAUUGGAUUUCAAGGAGGUAACCAGCAAAAAAGCCGCCAUCAUUAACCAUUAUAGUGAAAUGAAGGAAAAGUUAGGCUCAGAAGCUUCAAUUUCAAUCGAAAAAGGUGAAGUGAUAAGCACACAUUACAAGCUAUUUUCCGCUGAUAUUCGUGACAUACCAAAACUGGAUUCAGUUAUUCGCAUGGCUGAAAUGGAUCCUAGCUUGCCGACCUUUAUAAUUGCAGAGUGUGUGCUUAUUUACCUGGACCCAACUGCCACUGGUGCUAUUGUGAGUUGGGCAUCUCAAAAGUUCUCCACUGCUGUCUUUUUCUUAUAUGAGCAGAUUCAUCCUGAUGAUGCAUUUGGGGAGCAAAUGAUUAGAAAUCUUGAGAGUAGAGGAUGCCCCCUUCUCGGUAUAAAUGCUACACCAACCUUGAGUCACAAGGAGAAACUUUUUCUUGGCAAUGGAUGGCAGAGAGCCGUUGCAUGGGAUAUGCUGAAAAUCUAUAAUGACUUCAUUGACAGUCAAGAAAGACGCAGAAUUUUAAAUUUGAUCCUGGCUGAGAACUCGGUUUCAGCUUGUGUUAUGCUGCACCUUUCCAUGAUGUCACUGCUGAUAAGGCUGCCCGCAAUGGAUGCAGGAUCGAACGGUUAGAACUGUUUGAUGAGUUUGAAGAGUGGUAUAUGAUGCAGGAACACUACUGUGUGGCCUAUGGAAUCAACGACGCCGAGGGCAUAUUUGACAGUUUUGGAUUUGGGGAGACAUAGCAGCACUGGUGCCUUUUCUUCUGUGGGUACCAGCUGCACUUGUUGUAAACCGACACCAUUAAUUCAAGUAUUACUCGAAGUAAACUUUGCUUGAUAAAAGAAGGAACGAUUGCUUGAUAAAAGAAGGAACGGACAGGGGUAGGAUACCUAAACAUCUCCUGAUGUUGGAGCUUGCUUUGAUAGGCUGUUCAAGUUCAACGGCGUUGUGCUUGGUUUAAGGUCUUUGGUGCCAGUCGCAGUGGUGUUUGAUGUCAAGCAUGCCAGGCUGCCAGUUCGUCACAAUAUGAACAGAACAGUGGUGCUUUCCAUUUUACUGUUUGCAGAUUUAGGUUAAAUCUGGUAGCACAUGUUUGCAGAAUAAAUCCGAUGUAGUUUCCUUCAGCCUCUUCA
RNA transcript from Zea mays, 1662 nucleotides. RefSeq lists it as uncharacterized. The transcript has 13 exons. The record is from RefSeq and is marked validated. NCBI's taxonomy places the organism in Eukaryota, Viridiplantae, Streptophyta, Magnoliopsida, Poales, Poaceae.